RNAcentral lists this ribosomal RNA (233 nucleotides) under uncultured microorganism. Its description in RNAcentral is "partial 16S ribosomal RNA". It matches the Rfam family "Bacterial small subunit ribosomal RNA", at positions 9 to 233 of the family's 1533-position model. The record is from RNAcentral.
GAGUUUUGAUCGUGGCUCAGAUUGAACGCUGGCGGCAUGCCUUACACAUGCAAGUCGAACGGCAGCAUGAUCCUAGCUUGCUAGAUUGAUGGCGAGUGGCGAACGGGUGAGUAAUACAUCGGAACGUGCCCUGUAGUGGGGGAUAACUAGUCGAAAGAUUAGCUAAUACCGCAUACGGACCUGAGGGUGAAAGUGGGGGACCGCAAGGCCUCAUUGCUAUAGGUAGCGGCCGA